GCAAAGGCUGUGACAGAGAUAAAAAUAUUCAAUAUAUUAAUUACAGAGAGCUAAUGUUAGGUGUAAAUUGGCAUUGAUAUGGAUAUAUAAUGAUCACUCUGGAGCCUCCAAGUUGAAAGGUUUUGCCAAGUAAAUGAGGACGUUUACCAGCGAUACAUGGUUAGGGUUCACUAUGAAGAUGAAUUUAAUUUGUUUAAAGUCGACCUGAUAAUGAGUGACAAUUUGUAUAUCUAAUUGUAAAUAAGGUGGUACCACGGAAGCGUAUCUCCCGUCCUUAUA
RNAcentral lists this non-coding RNA (279 nucleotides) under Clostridium kluyveri. Its description in RNAcentral is "T-box sequence". It matches the Rfam family "T-box leader". From Rfam's summary of the family: Uncharged tRNA acts as the effector for transcription antitermination of genes in the T-box leader family. T-boxes are found upstream of many aminoacyl-tRNA synthetase genes and some amino acid biosynthetic genes usually in Gram-positive bacteria. Lineage: Bacteria; Bacillati; Bacillota; Clostridia; Eubacteriales; Clostridiaceae. The record is from RNAcentral.